CCUACGGGGUGCUGCAGUGGGGAAUAUUGGACAAUGGGCGAAAGCCUGAUCCAGCCAUGCCGCGUGUGUGAAGAAGGCCUUCGGGUUGUAAAGCACUUUCAGUGGGGAAGAAAGCCUUGGGGCUAAUACCCUCGAGGAAGGACAUCACCCACAGAAGAAGCACCGGCUAACUCCGUGCCAGCAGCCGCGGUAAUACGGAGGGUGCGAGCGUUAAUCGGAAUUACUGGGCGUAAAGCGCGCGUAGGCGGUCUGAUAAGCCGGUUGUGAAAGCCCCGGGCUCAACCUGGGAACGGCAUCCGGAACUGUCAGGCUAGAGUGCAGGAGAGGAAGGUAGAAUUCCCGGUGUAGCGGUGAAAUGCGUAGAGAUCGGGAGGAAUACCAGUGGCGAAGGCGGCCUUCUGGACUGACACUGACGCUGAGGUGCGAAAGCGUGGGUAGCAAACAGGAUUAGUACCCCUGUAGUC
RNAcentral lists this ribosomal RNA (464 nucleotides) under Vreelandella stevensii. RNAcentral describes it as "partial 16S ribosomal RNA". It matches the Rfam family "Bacterial small subunit ribosomal RNA", at positions 338 to 795 of the family's 1533-position model. The record is from RNAcentral. Lineage: Bacteria; Pseudomonadati; Pseudomonadota; Gammaproteobacteria; Oceanospirillales; Halomonadaceae.